RNAcentral lists this ribosomal RNA (470 nucleotides) under uncultured Alphaproteobacteria bacterium. RNAcentral's name for it is "bacterial SSU rRNA". It matches the Rfam family "Bacterial small subunit ribosomal RNA", at positions 79 to 532 of the family's 1533-position model. The record is from RNAcentral. Lineage: Bacteria; Pseudomonadati; Pseudomonadota; Alphaproteobacteria.
AGCGCCCUUCGGGUGACCGGCGGAGUAGGUAGUAACGCGUGGGAACGUGCCCUUCUCUACGGAAUAGCCUCUGGAAACGGAGAGUAAUACCUGUAUACGCCCUUAUGGGGGAAAGAUUUAUCAGGAGAACUGAUCAGGCCCAGCGAUUAAGAAUUAGUGUAAGUUAGGUAGGGUGAUAACGGCCAUACCAAAGCACUACGAAUCUAUUAGCUAGGUUUUAGAAGGAUGAUCAGAAACAACUGGAGACUGAGACACGGCCCAGACUACUACGGGAGUGCAGCAGAUGGAGAAUAUUAGACAAUGGGGGCAACCCUGAUCUAGCCAUGCCGAGUUGAGUAGAUGAAGAGCCUUAGUGGUCAUAAAAGCUCUUUACGACCUGAUGAAUUGAAUCAAUGGACCAGUCAGCAGGUAAAAGAAAACCCCAGAAUUAACUACCGGUGACCACGCAAGCCGAGUGAUAAUACGGGAGG